CUUUUAGCUAUGAAGAAGAGCUUUAGAUUGGUUAAUCGGUAGAGAGUUUUCGGUUGGUGAAAGAAAAUGUUUGCCUUUUUAAAGUAUGGCUUUGGAGCUUAUUAUGCUGAUAUGUAAGUAUAAUCGUAUAUAGGCGUUAACUAUUUGAGUGUAUAAUACUAUUAUAAAAUAAGGUGGUACCGCGAUGAUUCGUCCUUAUA
Molecule: non-coding RNA, 200 nt
Filed under: Clostridium sp.
Lineage: Bacteria; Bacillati; Bacillota; Clostridia; Eubacteriales; Clostridiaceae
Description: T-box sequence
Rfam family: T-box leader
About the family: Uncharged tRNA acts as the effector for transcription antitermination of genes in the T-box leader family.
Source: RNAcentral